UCCGGAUGUCGAGUCACCAUUACUAGAUGGUUAUAUCGAUUGAUUCAGAAAGGUGUUCCUAUGCUACUAGCUUAGGUUCAAACCUAUGGGAUCACUCUCAAAAGAAGUUUAUGAUUGAUCAUGUGGCUGAUCAAUGAUUGAGAAUCAUUCAAGGGCUUAAUCGUCAAUUCGAUUGAUGGUUAACCUUAUGUAAAAGUUGCAAUUAAUUAAUUUACAAAGUGUUAGU
RNAcentral lists this long non-coding RNA (226 nucleotides) under Elaeis guineensis (African oil palm). Its description in RNAcentral is "long non-coding RNA (EGUI_LNC080109)". The record is from RNAcentral. Lineage: Eukaryota; Viridiplantae; Streptophyta; Magnoliopsida; Arecales; Arecaceae.